RNAcentral lists this ribosomal RNA (253 nucleotides) under uncultured bacterium. RNAcentral describes it as "partial 16S ribosomal RNA". It matches the Rfam family "Bacterial small subunit ribosomal RNA", at positions 524 to 776 of the family's 1533-position model. The record is from RNAcentral.
UACGGGGGGGGCAAGCGUUGUUCGGAAUUACUGGGCGGAAAGGGUUUGUAGGUGGCUUGUUAAGUCAGACGUGAAAUCCCUCAGCUUAACUGGGGAACUGCGUCUGAGACUGGUGAGCUUGAGUGCAGGAGAGGAACGCGGAAUUCCAGGUGUAGCGGUGAAAUGCGUAGAUAUCUGGAGGAACACCGGUGGCGAAGGCGGCGUUCUGGACUGCAACUGACACUGAUGAACGAAAGCCAGGGGAGCAAACGGG